Molecule: long non-coding RNA, 1357 nt
Filed under: Capra hircus (goat)
Lineage: Eukaryota; Metazoa; Chordata; Mammalia; Artiodactyla; Bovidae
Description: lncRNA (ENSCHIG00010002173.1)
Source: RNAcentral
AUGGUAAAGUUCAUUUAAUCCACAGCUGGACUGGGGGCUUAAAUGAGGACCUGGAGAGACUGGCUCUGUCCGGGUCAGAUCUUGCCUCUGAUUUCCUCUCCCCAGCUGGUGGCUCAGGUGGCCACUCCAUGUCCAGCCUUUCAUAACACUCAUUUAGCCAUCCCAAGGGAAGGAAGUGCCUCUUUCCCAGCAGAUACAGGACAAGUCCUAAGAUCAGUGUUCAUUGACCUUUGCUCACCUCAUGUCCCAUUCCAGAGUAAAUCCCUAAGGGGCAGGGGCGGAGUGAGAAGAGGAGGGGGAGGGAGUUAGGACAGACAAGGUCUGCAUCCUAAAUCCACCCCCAGAGACAGAGGAAGACUUCAACCCCAUCCUAGAACACAGUGAGAGAAAGACUGGGUAGCAAUUCUCUCUCAAAGGAGAUUAAGGUCCUAAUUCCAAGGAAAGAAAAAAGGUGUACCAAGCAGGACAAACAACAGAUGUGUACUAUUCAUGCAUUUACAUAAUCAGACUUUGUCUCCUUAAAAAAUAUAUAAUCUUGACUUUCAAAACCCCUGAUGAAUGACAAUUUGACAGAGAUUUUUGGCCUUUUUUUUUUUCAAGGACACUAGCUUAGAUCCUUUUGUUCCCAGUGUUGACUCUGGAGGAUUGAGAAGAAACAAGCAAAACAAAGUAUUAAGCACAUAGCUUCUUGGUUGUUUUCAUGUUCAUUAAAUCUGCUUUCACCCGUGCAUAAACACCUAAUUCUCUACUGAGAUGCCAAGAUAUCAGGAGCAUAAAAGUCUGAAAGUACCUAAAACAAAAAUUCUCCUUUAUAACAGCACAAUUUUAUUAGUGCUAUAAGCAGCCAAAUCCAGUUCUCUAAAAAUCAACUUAUUUGAAAGCCAAUGGACACUCUGCAAAAUGAAAAAAAAAAAAAAAUCAGAAAUGAGGAAUCAGUGAUCUUUUUUAUACCCCUGACCUUAACCCUCAUGUUAAACAAUUUCACAUAGAGGCUGGAAAAACUAAAUUAAAACAUAAAUUCUGUUUUAAGCUAAAGGAAGCGAGGGCCUAUAGUCAUUGCCUAACACAUUCCAGGUUAUUUGUAAGACUGAACACAAUUCUUUUCUGAAAACAACAACAAAAAUAGCCUUUAUAAAAAAUAAAUUUGACAAACACCACCAAACAGGACCUUAAUAUUUCUAAAAGUUCUACUUGUAAAGGGAAGCAUUCAAAAUUGCAGAUUAAUACAGGUGUGUUCACCCAAAGUCAGUCCUAACAGUAUCACAGUCCUAUCUUUUUUUCCUACUAGCAUUGUUUUCUCACUCAGAUAAGAACAAAACAACAAGAGAGACUCAUGUGCAGCUUCACACACAGUGAA